RNAcentral lists this ribosomal RNA (461 nucleotides) under uncultured bacterium. RNAcentral describes it as "bacterial SSU rRNA". It matches the Rfam family "Bacterial small subunit ribosomal RNA", at positions 771 to 1221 of the family's 1533-position model. The record is from RNAcentral.
AGCCAAUAGAUACCCGGGUAGUCCACGCCCUAAACGAUGUCUACUAGUUGUUGGUGGAGUAAAAAUCCAUGAGUAAACGCAGCUAAACGCGUGAAGUAGACCGCCUGGGGAGUACGGUCGCAAGAUUAAAAACUCAAAGGAAUUGACGGGGGCCCGCACAAGCGGCGGAUUAUGUGGAUUAAAUUCGAUGCAACGCGAAAAACCCUUACCUGGCCUUGACAUGCCACUAACGAAGCAGAGAUGCAUUAGGUGCCCGUAACGGGAAAGUGGACACAGGUGCUGCAUGGCUGUCGUCAGCUCGUGUCGUGAGAUGUUGGGUUAAAGUCCCGCAACGAGCGCAACCCUUGCCAUUAAUUGCCAUCAUUUAGUUGGGCACUUUAAUGGGACUGCCGGUGACAAACCCGGAGGAAGGUUGGGGAUGACGUCAAGUCCUCAUGGCCCUUAUGGCCAGGGCUUCACAC